GACGAACGCUGGCGGCGUGCUUAACACAUGCAAGUCGAGCGGUAAGGCCCUUUCGGGGGUACGACGAGCGGCGAACGGGUGAGUAACACGUGGGUGACCUGCCUCUAGCUCUGGGAUAAGCCUGGGAAGCUGGGUCUAAUACCGGAUAUGACCUCGCGGUGCAUGUUGCGGGGUGGAAAGCCUUGUGCGGCUAGGGAUGGGCCCGCGGCCUAUCAGCUUGUUGGUGGGGUGANGGCCUACCAAGGCGACGACGGGUAGCCGGCCUGAGAGGGCGACCGGCCACACUGGGACUGAGACACGGCCCAGACUCCCACGGGAGGCAGCAGUGGGGAAUCUUGCGCAAUGGGCGAAAGCCUGACGCAGCGACGCCGCGUGAGGGAUGACGGCCU
RNAcentral lists this ribosomal RNA (389 nucleotides) under uncultured bacterium. RNAcentral describes it as "bacterial SSU rRNA". It matches the Rfam family "Bacterial small subunit ribosomal RNA", at positions 28 to 417 of the family's 1533-position model. The record is from RNAcentral.